GCACUGCUGAAGAGUCCUCCAAUUGAACGAAACGGCCGUCCUGUGC
Molecule: non-coding RNA, 46 nt
Filed under: Schistosoma margrebowiei
Lineage: Eukaryota; Metazoa; Platyhelminthes; Trematoda; Strigeidida; Schistosomatidae
Source: RNAcentral